GGCGAACGGGUGAGUAACGCGUAGGCAACCUGCCUUAGACGGGACAACAUUCCGAAGGAGUGCUAAUACCGGAUGAGAUCAUUUCCGCAUGGGAGAGUGAAGAAAGAUGGCCUCUACAUGUAAGCUAUCGCUAAAGGAUGGGCCUGCGUCUGAUUAGCUAGUUGGUAGUGUAACGGACUACCAAGGCGAUGAUCAGUAGCCGGUCUGAGAGGAUGAACGGCCACAUUGGGACUGAGACACGGCCCAAACUCCUACGGGAGGCAGCAGUGGGGAAUCUUCCGCAAUGGACGAAAGUCUGACGGAGCAACGCCGCGUGAGUGAUGAAGGAUUUCGGUUCCUGUAAAACUCUGUUGUUUAUGACGAACGUGCAGUGUGUGAACAAUGCAUUGCAAUGACGGUAGUAAACGAGGAAGCCACGGCUAACUACGUGCCAGCCGCAGC
RNAcentral lists this ribosomal RNA (441 nucleotides) under uncultured bacterium. RNAcentral describes it as "bacterial SSU rRNA". It matches the Rfam family "Bacterial small subunit ribosomal RNA", at positions 97 to 518 of the family's 1533-position model. The record is from RNAcentral.